Molecule: long non-coding RNA, 1106 nt
Filed under: Sus scrofa (pig)
Lineage: Eukaryota; Metazoa; Chordata; Mammalia; Artiodactyla; Suidae
Description: lncRNA (ENSSSCG00005018502.1)
Source: RNAcentral
GAACUCAUGGGUAGGUAUCUUGCUGCUUAGGUUGCAUGGAGGUGGAUGCUUUCUCAGUGGCCUGGAGUCUGAUCUUGCAGGUCACCUUAGGCAUUUGGUUCCUUUCUCAUGUGAAUUUGAGUUUGGUACUUUUUUUUUUUUUGGUCUUUUUAGGGCCACACCCAGGGCAUAUGGAGGUUCCUAGGCUUGGGGUCCAAUUGGAGCUGUAGCUGCCGUCCUGCACCACAGUCACAGCAACACGGGAUCCGAGCAGUGUCUGUGACCUAUACCAUAGCCCACAGCAGUGCAGGAUCCUUAACCUGCUGAGCAAGGCCAGGGAUUGAACCUGUGUCCUCAUGGAUGCCAUUCAGAUUCGUUUCCACUGAUCCAUGACGGGAACUCCGAGUUUGGUACAUUUUAGCUAAAAUGCAAAAUAAAUUGGUUUCUGAAGCAAAACCAUAUUGGUUUUUUCCUUGCAGCACGUCCAUUAGCAUAGGUCUUCCCAGGCCAUCGUAGGAAAGGAUCAGUCUCGGUCGGUGAAGUACAGACAUGCUAACCUCAGCUGCAGCUAGUGGUGCCUAUAACUAAUGGUUGUGACACUUGUUCACUUCGGUAGUGGAAGAUCCUGACAUAAGCCCCAGCACUCCCUGUCCUGUUCUCAGUAGGUGUGCUCCCAUUUCAUUGUGGAUGAAGUAAUCAGUUUGUAUCUGUAGGUAUAUCCCUGGAUAGUUCCCCUAUCCUGCUAGUGUAGGGCUUCACUGGGAAUAUUUUCCCAUUAUGACCGUAAUGGGUGUUUGUUGUGUUUUGGGUUUUUUUUUUUUUUGCUUUUUAGGGCCACACUCACAGCAUAUGGAGUUUCCCAGGCUAGGGGUCAGAUUGGAGCCGUAGCUGCAGGCCAGUGCCCCCGCCACAGCAACAUAGGAUCUGAGCUGUAUCUGCAACCUACACCACAGCUCAUGGUGAUGCCGGAUCCUUAACCCUCGGAGUGAGGCCAGGGGUUAAGGCCUCAUGGAUGCUAUCAGAUUCGCUAACCACUGAGCCAUGAUGGGAACUCCAUAAUGGAUGUUUGUUAAAGGGAACUAACAACUUGCUAAGUUCUACCUCCACUUACCACUCUUCUUAAAAUG